ACGUAGGAGACGAGCGUUAUCCGGAUUUACUGGGCGUAAAGAGCGUGUAGGAGGCAAUACAAGUUGGAUGUAAAAGCUCUCGGCUAAACUGAGAGAGGACGGUCAAGACUGUAGAGCUAGAGGAAGGGAGAGGUAAAUGGAAUUCCGGGGGUAGUGGUGAAAUGCGUAGAUAUUAGGAAGAACACCAGAGGCGAAGGCGAUUUGCUGGACUUUAACUGACGCUGAGACGCGAAAGCGUGGGUAGCGAACGG
This 251-nucleotide ribosomal RNA is filed under the name uncultured prokaryote. Its description in RNAcentral is "partial 16S rRNA". It matches the Rfam family "Bacterial small subunit ribosomal RNA", at positions 525 to 775 of the family's 1533-position model. The record is from RNAcentral.